GAUGAACGCUGGCGGCGUGCCUAAUACAUGCAAGUCGAGCGAACGGACGAGAAGCUUGCUUCUCUGAUGUUGGCGGCGGACGGGUGAGUAACACGUGGAUAACCUACCUAUAAGACUGGGAUAACUUCGGGAAACCGGAGCUAAUACCGGAUGAUAUUUUGAACCGCAUGGUUCAAAGGUGAAAGACGGUCUUGCUGUCACUUAUAGAUGGAUCCGCGCUGCAUUAGCUAGUUGGUAAGGUAACGGCUUACCAAGGCAACGAUGCAUAGCCGACCUGAGAGGGUGAUCGGCCACACUGGAACUGAGACACGGUCCAGACUCCUACGGGAGGCAGCAGUAGGGAAUCUUCCGCAAUGGGCGAAAGCCUGACGGAGCAACGCCGCGUGAGUGAUGAAGGUCUUCGGAUCGUAAAACUCUGUUAUUAGGGAAGAACAUAUGUGUAAGUAACUGUGCACAUCUUGACGGUACCUAAUCAGAAAGCCACGGCUAACUACGUG
RNAcentral lists this ribosomal RNA (497 nucleotides) under uncultured bacterium. Its description in RNAcentral is "partial 16S ribosomal RNA". It matches the Rfam family "Bacterial small subunit ribosomal RNA", at positions 28 to 507 of the family's 1533-position model. The record is from RNAcentral.